AAUAGAUGACGCCGUUGACUUUUUUUCGCAUGUUUGACCAUUCGUAUUAUUCAAAAAAUUUACGUAAUUUUUUAUCAUUCAUACUACUUUAAGUGUGAUUUAUAUCUUAUACAUUUGCAUAAAAUUUUUGAAUAAGACGAAUGGUCAAACAUGUGAGAAAAAGUCUAACGGCAGCAUCUAUU
This 182-nucleotide microRNA precursor is filed under the name Oryza sativa Indica Group (long-grained rice). RNAcentral describes it as "MIR812 microRNA precursor family". It matches the Rfam family "MIR812 microRNA precursor family". Lineage: Eukaryota; Viridiplantae; Streptophyta; Magnoliopsida; Poales; Poaceae. The record is from Rfam by way of RNAcentral.